This 27-nucleotide non-coding RNA is filed under the name Homo sapiens (human). The record is from RNAcentral. Lineage: Eukaryota; Metazoa; Chordata; Mammalia; Primates; Hominidae.
UGGAAGUACAUCGGGUUGUUGAUAGAU